RNAcentral lists this long non-coding RNA (369 nucleotides) under Gallus gallus (chicken). Lineage: Eukaryota; Metazoa; Chordata; Aves; Galliformes; Phasianidae. The record is from RNAcentral.
AACUGGUCCAAUAAGCUUCAAUUGGUGCACUCACCACUGCAUCAAACAGAACUUCCUGGAUCAAUUCUUUAUCACAUUGGAGCAAUGGCUCUUUUCCUGUGAGGUAGCGUUUAAUUGCUUCUAACUGAGUCAUUUGACGGUGUUCAGGAUGCAAGUCAGUGUUGCAGUAGGACCAUUCAUCUGCUAAAGAUACAUCAGGGUGUUCUAAAUCAUGUAAACCUUCUUCCACAGUUACAUUCCCUCUGAAGAAAUAUUUUCCAUGUCCUCUAGAGAGAGCCACACCUAAACCCUUUGUCCACUGUUUUCUUCACUUCCAUGGAGAAUUUUCCUGUUUUACGAUUCACCAUUGCAUUUCGAAGCACAUCAUCU